RNAcentral lists this ribosomal RNA (1017 nucleotides) under uncultured organism. Its description in RNAcentral is "bacterial SSU rRNA". It matches the Rfam family "Bacterial small subunit ribosomal RNA", at positions 355 to 1375 of the family's 1533-position model. The record is from RNAcentral.
UGAGGAAUAUUGGUCAAUGGACGAGAGUCUGAACCAGCCAAGUAGCGUGAAGGAUGACUGCCCUAUGGGUUGUAAACUUCUUUUAUACGGGAAUAAAGUUAGCCACGUGUGGCUUUUUGUAUGUACCGUAUGAAUAAGGAUCGGCUAACUCCGUGCCAGCAGCCGCGGUAAUACGGAGGAUCCGAGCGUUAUCCGGAUUUAUUGGGUUUAAAGGGAGCGUAGGCGGACGCUUAAGUCAGUUGUGAAAGUUUGCGGCUCAACCGUAAAAUUGCAGUUGAUACUGGGUGUCUUGAGUACAGUAGAGGCAGGCGGAAUUCGUGGUGUAGCGGUGAAAUGCUUAGAUAUCACGAAGAACUCCGAUUGCGAAGGCAGCCUGCUGGACUGUAACUGACGCUGAUGCUCGAAAGUGUGGGUAUCAAACAGGAUUAGAUACCCUGGUAGUCCACACAGUAAACGAUGAAUACUCGCUGUUUGCGAUAUACAGUAAGCGGCCAAGCGAAAGCGUUAAGUAUUCCACCUGGGGAGUACGCCGGCAACGGUGAAACUCAAAGGAAUUGACGGGGGCCCGCACAAGCGGAGGAACAUGUGGUUUAAUUCGAUGAUACGCGAGGAACCUUACCCGGGCUUGAAUUGCAACUGAAUGAUGUGGAGACAUGUCAGCCGCAAGGCAGUUGUGAAGGUGCUGCAUGGUUGUCGUCAGCUCGUGCCGUGAGGUGUCGGCUUAAGUGCCAUAACGAGCGCAACCCUUAUCGAUAGUUACCAUCAGGUUAUGCUGGGGACUCUGUCGAGACUGCCGUCGUAAGAUGUGAGGAAGGUGGGGAUGACGUCAAAUCAGCACGGCCCUUACGUCCGGGGCUACACACGUGUUACAAUGGGGGGUACAGAAGGCAGCUACACGGCGACGUGAUGCUAAUCCCGAAAGCCUCUCUCAGUUCGGAUUGGAGUCUGCAACCCGACUCCAUGAAGCUGGAUUCGCUAGUAAUCGCGCAUCAGCCACGGCGCGGUGAAUACGUUCCC